Molecule: ribosomal RNA, 440 nt
Filed under: uncultured bacterium
Lineage: Bacteria
Description: partial 16S ribosomal RNA
Rfam family: Bacterial small subunit ribosomal RNA
Source: RNAcentral
CCUACGGGAGGCUGCAGUGGGGGAUAUUGCACAAUGGGGGAAACCCUGAUGCAGCGACGCCGCGUGGGUGAAGAAGCGCCGCGGCGCGUAAAGCCCUGUCAGCAGGGAAGAAAAUGACGGUACAUGAAGAAGAAGCCCCGGCUAACUACGUGCCAGCAGCCGCGGUAAGACGGAGGGGGCAAGCGUUAUCCGGAUUUACUGGGUGUAAAGGGGGCGCAGGCGGCGAGGCCAGCCAGGAGGGAAAGCCCGGGGCCCAACCCCGGGACUGCUCUUGGAACUGCGUGGCUAGUGUGCCGGAGGGGCAGGCGGACUUCCUGGUGUAGCGGUGCACUGCGUCUAUAUCAGGAGGCACCCCGGUGGCGAAGGCGGCCUGCUGUACUGCAACUGACGUUGCGGCCCGAACGCGUGGGGAGCACACAGGAUUCGAUCCCCGGGUAGUC